This is a long non-coding RNA of Nilaparvata lugens (brown planthopper), 375 nucleotides long. RefSeq lists it as uncharacterized. The record is from RefSeq and is a predicted model, not a curated record. Lineage: Eukaryota; Metazoa; Arthropoda; Insecta; Hemiptera; Delphacidae. The transcript has 3 exons.
AUAGACGUCUCCAAGAGAAUCGCCAAAGUAGUUACAAUUAAAUGCCUAUUUAAUCUAGUAGUUUAUUUAAUCUAUUUAGUCUAUUCUUUUCUAUAUUCUAUUCUGUUCAAUUGUGCUCUGUGUUAAUCGUUGCUUGAAUCAGCAGGAAUGAAUAUAAUUUUGAUCUCACUUUUCUACCUCAGCAUGCUCCUGAUUGGAAUUGGAGGCUCUCCCAAUAGAAGAAAUUCUCCCCGUGGCUCCCCUCCUCCUCCUCUUCCUGCAGGCUCCCCUCCAAGAACUCCUCCUCCUCCUGCAGGCUCCCCUCCAAGAACUCCUGGAGCCACCCCUCUUCCUUCUUCUGAAGGCUCCUCCUCCCCUUUUACUCCUGGACACUCC